Molecule: ribosomal RNA, 230 nt
Filed under: uncultured bacterium
Lineage: Bacteria
Description: partial 16S ribosomal RNA
Rfam family: Bacterial small subunit ribosomal RNA
Source: RNAcentral
AAGCGUGCGCAGGCGGUUAUGUAAGACAGAUGUGAAAUCCCCGGGCUCAACCUGGGAACUGCAUUAGUGACUGCAUAGCUGGAGUACGGCAGAGGGGGGAUGGAAUUCCGCGUGUAGCAGUGAAAUGCGUAGAUAUGCGGAGGAACACCGAUGGCGAAGGCAAUCCCCUGGGCCUGUACUGACGCUCAUGCACGAAAGCGUGGGGAGCAAACAGGAUUAGAUACCCCUGU